CGUGCACUGGUGGGGUCCCUCGGCCUGGUCUGCGCCCUCUCACAAGCCAGGACCCUUGGGGGAUGUCAGAGAGCCGGUUUCAGCCCAGUCUCCGCAGACCAGGUCGAGGGACCCCACCAGUGCACA
This 126-nucleotide microRNA precursor is filed under the name Myotis brandtii (Brandt's bat). RNAcentral describes it as "mir-9193 microRNA precursor family". It matches the Rfam family "mir-9193 microRNA precursor family". Lineage: Eukaryota; Metazoa; Chordata; Mammalia; Chiroptera; Vespertilionidae. The record is from Rfam by way of RNAcentral.